This 2776-nucleotide long non-coding RNA is filed under the name Populus trichocarpa (black cottonwood). RNAcentral describes it as "long non-coding RNA (PTRI_LNC003505)". The record is from RNAcentral. Lineage: Eukaryota; Viridiplantae; Streptophyta; Magnoliopsida; Malpighiales; Salicaceae.
CAUUAAGAGAGCUAAACCAAACACCAUAUCCCCUAAACUAUUCAAGCUAUCAUGGUGUAAUACAUACAGCCUUGAAACCCUGCCAGCAAUGAAGAAACAGCUCCCAGUUCCACUGCCAAGUAGUCCUUCGAAUAAAACAGACUACACAACUAUUUGCCAAUUCGAAUGAAUACCGGAGUUACAAACAACAUACUAGCAAAGGUUUGCUGAGAAAGGAGUCGAGCUCUACGCAACAUUCAACACAUCCGGCAAGGCGUCGGGAGCACCACCACUUUGACCAUUGAGAACAAUAACAUUCCCAUCAGAAUCAACAUCUAUAAUAACAGAAUCACCUUCUUUGAUCUCUGCUGAAAGCAUUUUCUCAGCCAUGCUGUCCUCGAGAAGCCUCAUUAUAGCUCUUCUCAAAGGCCUUGCACCAUAGGCUGGGUUAUACCCUUCAUCUACCACCCUAUCUCUAAAUCUCUCUGUCACUUGAAGCUCUAUUUCCUUGGCCUUCAACCUCUCAAAGACCUCCUUCAACAUUAUAUCAGCAAUAUCCUUGACCUCCAGCUUGGUAAGUUGACGGAAAACAAUCAUCUCAUCCAAUCUAUUUAAGAAUUCCGGCCUAAAAUACUGCUUUAACUCCUCUGUCACCAGGCUCUUAAUCCGAUUGUAACUGCUAUCCUUCUCAUCAUAAUCAAGAUCAAAUCCAAUCUUGCGUCCUCCCUUCUCAAUAACACUGCUACCAACAUUUGAAGUCAUUAUCAGGAGGGUGUUUUUGAAGUCUACAGUCCUGCCCUUGCUGUCUGUCAACCUUCCAUCUUCAAGAAUUUGAAGCAUAAUGUUAAAGACAUCAGGAUGGGCCUUCUCAAUCUCAUCAAAGAGUACCACAGUGUAAGGGCGACGCCUAACAGCCUCCGUCAACUGACCACCCUCAGUGUAACCAACAUAACCAGGAGGCGAACCAAUCAGCUUAGCAACAGUGUGUCUUUCCAUGUACUCACUCAUAUCAAGACGGAUCAUGGCUUCUUCAGAGCCAAAGUAAUAGGCAGCUAGUGCUUUUGCCAAUUCUGACUUCCCGACACCAGUUGGACCAGAAAAUAUGAAGCUAGCAAUUGGUCGAUUGGGAUUCUUGAGUCCAACACGAGCUCGGCGGAUGGCACGGCUGAUUGCCUUGACAGCUUCAUCCUGGCCAACGACUCGCUUGUGAAGGGUAUCUUCCAUCUUUAGGAGACGGUCAGAUUCGUCUGUGGAUACUUUCUCUACUGGAAUUCCAGUCCAAGAAGAAACAAUGUGCUGAAUGUCUGAUUCAGUGACAGUGGGACCUACAUCCCCUGCCUCUGUCUCAGCUUUGCUCAUCUCUUUGCCUUUCUCCACAAUAGCUGCAAUCUGUGCUCUAAGGUCCAUUUCUCUGUCUCGCAAUUCCCCAGCCUGUUUAAGAUUACCAAUGAAGUGAGUUAGCUCAACAAAUUGAGAAAAAAGAUCAACAUUAAGAAACAAAAGACACAAGCAAUUGGUGGUCUUAUAGUCUCACAGGCUGUGGCACCUCUUCUGAAACAACUUUUUCACUGUUCAAUAAUUAGACAACUAAAAAAUUUGAAAUCGUAACACAAUAUUUUGGAAGUUCAUUAAAAUGUCUGAUCUCAUGGAAACAAGCAGGGUAGUCCUAGAAAACCCAAUUAGACAAUUGGAAAGCACAAAGAAAGAAGCAAUUUGUACCUUUUCAAAGUCUUGGCCACGGACAGCUUCAUCCUUUUCCUUUGUGAUUUGUCUGACCUCUUUCUCAAGCUCUCUUGCUUCCUCGGGGACCUAAACGAAUAAAGUGAGGGGAAAAGGACAGAAUAUUGAAGGAUGAUGAUGGAGUAACUGGAUACAAGACUGUACCUGUGCAUGACGAAGCCGAACCCGAGAACCAGCUUCAUCAAUCAAAUCAAUUGCCUUAUCAGGCAGAAAACGGUCACUGAAACGAAUGCAAGAAAAAAAUAUCAAGGGAGGGACAGCUUAUAAAGGACUGUAAUUAUAGAGAGGGAGUAGAUCUUUUGAAGGACUACUUAUACCAGACAGACAUGGAAAAAAUGAAAAAAAAAAAACUUCUAUAGAAAGGUACUUCAUAGAAUUACAACAGAAACUCAUAGGAAAAAAUUGUGAAUUUGGGAGCAUCUGAUACAAUUAAAGCCAAGUGGAGUAAAGCUUCUGAAAUGGUCCAAGUACAUUUCUGGUGUAUUGUGGAGGGUACAGCAGGAAGGAAAGAAAAACAGUAGGGAAAAACUUAUUAUGCACAGAUCAAAAAUAUCAGCUCCAACAGAGACUGUCUGCAAGGUAGUCAAAUGGCAUCAAUAACUAUUGCAAUUUGAAAUGCUACCACUAGCUCUGCCAAGAUGCAUGUAAAAUGCACCCCUACAGGGAAUGAUAUCCCGGGUAUUUUCAUCUCUUUCCAUUUAUAAUCUUGGGUAGCCCAUCAUAUGGUAUCUCACGUUUCAAGUAAGCUUCAAGGUUUGCUCAAAAGACCUAACAAUGGACUUCAGAAAUACAUUACUUGUUUUCUUAAGAUAUACAAACAAUGACUUUUCUCCUCUAUAAAUAAGCAUUUGUGAAGCAAAAAGUGUGACAAAUGCCGCAGAUAUGUGAAAUUAUAGAACAGAAAUGUGAACUAGAAAAAAAAGAGUCUAUUUAUGGCUCACUUACCUGAUGUACUGGUAUGACAACUGAGCAGCAGCUACUAAGGACUCAUCUGUGUAACGGAGCUUGUGGUGGAUCUCAUAUCGCUCACGAAGUCCUUUCAAAAUCUGUAUCGUUU